CCUACGGGAGGCAGCAGUGGGGAAUAUUGCACAAUGGGGGAAACCCUGAUGCAGCGACGCCGCGUGAGUGAAGAAGUAUUUCGGUAUGUAAAGCUCUAUCAGCAGGGAAGAAAAUGACGGUACCUGAGUAAGAAGCCCCGGCUAACUACGUGCCAGCAGCCGCGGUAAUACGUAGGGGGCAAGCGUUAUCCGGAUUUACUGGGUGCAAAGGGAGCGUAGACGGCAGCACAAGUCUGGAGUGAAAUGCCGGGGCUUAACCCCUGAACUGCUUUGGAAACUGUGCAGCUAGAGUGCAGGAGAGGUAAGUGGAAUUCCUAGUGUAGCGGUGAAAUGCGUAGAUAUUAGGAGGAACACCAGUGGCGAAGGCGGCUUACUGGACUGUAACUGACGUUGAGGCUCGAAAGCGUGGGGAGCAAACAGGAUUAGAUACCCGAGUAGUC
This 440-nucleotide ribosomal RNA is filed under the name uncultured bacterium. Its description in RNAcentral is "partial 16S ribosomal RNA". It matches the Rfam family "Bacterial small subunit ribosomal RNA", at positions 338 to 795 of the family's 1533-position model. The record is from RNAcentral.